RNAcentral lists this long non-coding RNA (716 nucleotides) under Homo sapiens (human). RNAcentral describes it as "non-protein coding lnc-GPR152-1:6". Lineage: Eukaryota; Metazoa; Chordata; Mammalia; Primates; Hominidae. The record is from RNAcentral.
GCAGCACCCAGCGCUCCUACAACACCUGCUGCAGCUGGACCCAACACCCUUUGAUCCAGAAGAACCGCCGAGUGGUGCUGGCCUCCUUCCUGCUCCUGCUGCUGGGGCUGGGUGAGUGGCCCUGAGGGUUGGGGUCAAGAGGGGCCCCGUGGGAGGCUCUGCCCUCCUUUUGUACAGGCUCUGCCUCCCCCUUGACACUGAGCCUCCCAGCAUCCUGAGGAGGCAGCUGGCUGCCAUCAUCACACUCCCAUUUUACAGGGCCUGCUCAGUGCCUUGCUCUGGAAACAGAGCUUGGUGAGCUUCCUGGGGAGGGUCUCUGCCUAGGGCACCUUCAGCUCAGGUGGUGGGUGAGCCGGGCUGGGGGUGGGAGCCCCCGCCCUCACCACUGCUCCUGCCCCCACCCCCGCGGCUCCGUCUGUGUGCAGUGCUGAUCCUGGUCGGCGUGGGACUGGAGGCGACCCCCUCUCCAGGUGUCUCCAGCGCCAUCUUCUUCGUGCCGGGCUUCCUGUUGUUGGUGCCUGGAGUCUAUCACGUGAUCUUCAUCUACUGCGCGGUCAAGGGCCACCGGGGCUUCCAGUUCUUCUACCUGCCCUACUUCGAGAAGUGAUCGCGGCGCAGCGUGGACCCCUUGCGCCCAUGGGGGCGCCCCUCUUGCCCUGUUCCGUUCCCCUCAUCUCAAGGGAAGAGGCCCUCCAGGACCCUCGAAACCCCAGCCC